RNAcentral lists this long non-coding RNA (642 nucleotides) under Mus pahari (shrew mouse). RNAcentral describes it as "lncRNA (MGP_PahariEiJ_G0002703.1)". Lineage: Eukaryota; Metazoa; Chordata; Mammalia; Rodentia; Muridae. The record is from RNAcentral.
AUUCUCAGCCUCAGAGGGCAGUGUUUGGUGUCAAAUGAGCCUUGAAGACUCUCUGAGUUCCUCUUCACAUCAACCGGUAGAGAUAGAUCAAUUCAAUUCUCUUAACCACAUGGCAGGACAUGAGACUGUGGCAUGGAGCUGCUGAUCUUUUCUUCUCAUGUUUUCCAUGAGCAAAUCCAGACAGAUGGGGUCUGUUGUGGAGUCCGAGCCAUUCUGAAUAUUUCCAGAUCCCUGAAAGGAACAAACACAGAAAUCUUCAAGCCAACUCUCCCUUUCCUCUGUGAGCAUUGACAAUAAUGAUGAGCUUUCCCUGCAGAAGCCAAAGAGGACUCAAGCCAGUGAAAAGAACUCUUUGAGUCCCAACUUUCAAUGGUUAAUUCUAGAUAAACAAGCUAGAUUCUGACUCUGCUGAAAUUUACAGUCUUCUAAAGACACACAUCCUUUCUGCACUUUAUAUUUCCUACUGCUUUUAAAUACAGUUAUGUAUGUGUGUGUGUAUAUAUAUAUAUAUAUGUAUAUAUGUAUGUAUAAAUACAUAUAUAUGUAUAUAUACAUAUAUAUAUAUAACAUAUGAAUCAUAUGAGACUGGAUUAAUUAAAGUCAUACCUAUAAGUAUAUUUUGAUUAAACAGAACCGGAUAAC